This 524-nucleotide ribosomal RNA is filed under the name uncultured bacterium. Its description in RNAcentral is "partial 16S ribosomal RNA". It matches the Rfam family "Bacterial small subunit ribosomal RNA", at positions 28 to 523 of the family's 1533-position model. The record is from RNAcentral.
GACGAACGCUGGCGGCGUGCUUAACACAUGCAAGUCGAACGAGACGAUUGAAAGCUUGCUUUUAAAAGUCGAGUGGCAAACGGGUGAGUAACGCGUAGACAACCUGCCUUUGAGAUGGGGACAGCAGUUCGAAAGGACUGCUAAUACCGAAUGUUGUAUAUUUUCCACAUGGAAGAUAUAUUAAAGAUGGCCUCUAUUUAUAAGCUAUCGCUCAAAGAUGGGUCUGCGUCUGAUUAGCUGGUUGGUGGGGUAACGGCCUACCAAGGCGACGAUCAGUAGCCGGUCUGAGAGGAUGAACGGCCACAUUGGGACUGAGACAUGGCCCAGACUCCUACGGGAGGCAGCAGUGGGGAAUCUUCCACAAUGGACGAAAGUCUGAUGGAGCAACGCCGCGUGGGUGAAGAAGGGUUUCGGCUCGUAAAGCUCUGUUGUCGGGGACGAAUGUGCAGUAUUUGAAUAAAGUACUGCAAUGACGGUACCUGACGAGGAAGCCACGGCUAACUACGUGCCAGCAGCCGCAGUAA